GUGUGACUCGUCACACUAUCAUUAACUGAAUCCAUAGGUUAAUGAGGCGAACCGGGGGAACUGAAACAUCUAAGUACCCCGAGGAAAAGAAAUCAACCGAGAUUCCCCCAGUAGCGGCGAGCGAACGGGGAGGAGCCCAGAGCCUGAAUCAGCAUGUGUGUUAGUGGAAGCGUCUGGAAAGGCGCGCGAUACAGGGUGACAGCCCCGUACACAAAAGCGCAUGUGCUGUGAGCUCGAUGAGUAGGGCGGGACACGUGGUAUCCUGUCUGAAUAUGGGGGGACCAUCCUCCAAGGCUAAAUACUCCUGACUGACCGAUAGUGAACCAGUACCGUGAGGGAAAGGCGAAAAGAACCCCGGCGAGGGGAGUGAAAAAGAACCUGAAACCGUGUACGUACAAGCAGUGGGAGCACCCUUCGGGGUGUGACUGCGUACCUUUUGUAUAAUGGGUCAGCGACUUAUAUUCUGUAGCAAGGUUAACCGUAUAGGGGAGCCGUAGGGAAACCGAGUCUUAACCGGGCGUUAAGUUGCAGGGUAUAGACCCGAAACCCGGUGAUCUAGCCAUGGGCAGGUUGAAGGUUGGGUAACACUAACUGGAGGACCGAACCGACUAAUGUUGAAAAAUUAGCGGAUGACCUGUGGCUGGGGGUGAAAGGCCAAUCAAACCGGGAGAUAGCUGGUUCUCCCCGAAAGCUAUUUAGGUAGCGCCUCGUGAAUUCAUCUCCGGGGGUAGAGCACUGUUUCGGCUAGGGGGCCAUCCCGGCUUACCAACCCGAUGCAAACUGCGAAUACCGGAGAAUGUUAUCACGGGAGACACACGGCGGGUGCUAACGUCCGUCGUGAAGAGGGAAACAACCCAGACCGCCAGCUAAGGUCCCAAAGUCAUGGUUAAGUGGGAAACGAUGUGGGAAGGCCCAGACAGCCAGGAUGUUGGCUUAGAAGCAGCCAUCAUUUAAAGAAAGCGUAAUAGCUCACUGGUCGAGUCGGCCUGCGCGGAAGAUGUAACGGGGCUAAACCAU
RNAcentral lists this ribosomal RNA (1017 nucleotides) under Salmonella enterica subsp. enterica serovar Virchow. Its description in RNAcentral is "partial 23S ribosomal RNA". It matches the Rfam family "Bacterial large subunit ribosomal RNA", at positions 131 to 1190 of the family's 2925-position model. The record is from RNAcentral. Lineage: Bacteria; Pseudomonadati; Pseudomonadota; Gammaproteobacteria; Enterobacterales; Enterobacteriaceae.